Long non-coding RNA from Nyctereutes procyonoides (raccoon dog), 219 nucleotides. RefSeq lists it as uncharacterized. NCBI's taxonomy places the organism in Eukaryota, Metazoa, Chordata, Mammalia, Carnivora, Canidae. The record is from RefSeq and is a predicted model, not a curated record. The transcript has 3 exons.
CUCUAAUGUAGUAAGAGAAUUGUACAGAAGCCACAGAGGAAAAACCACCAUUAAGUACUUUGCACAACCUUUGCAGAGAUAAGCAGAAACCAGAACUCCUAGACGUGAUUUGAUAAACAUGGAGAAUCAAGCAGGAUAACUUGACUGAGACAGAGAUUAUAUUCGCCCGGUUAACUAAAGUAACAUCUACAUUUAGAAGAGCACCACCUGUGACCUGUG